UACGGGGGGGGCAAGCGUUGUUCGGAAUUACUGGGCGUAAAGGGCUCGUAGGUGGCCAACUAAGUCAUACGUGAAAUCCCUCGGCUUAACCGGGGAACUGCGUCUGAUACUGGAUGGCUUGAGGUUGGGAGAGGGAUGCGGAAUUCCAGGUGUAGCGGUGAAAUGCGUAGAGAUGGGGGAGAACACUCGUGGCGAAGGCGGCCAGCUAGACCAGUUCUGACACUGAGGCGCGAUAGCGUGGGGAGCAAACAGG
This 253-nucleotide ribosomal RNA is filed under the name uncultured bacterium. Its description in RNAcentral is "partial 16S ribosomal RNA". It matches the Rfam family "Bacterial small subunit ribosomal RNA", at positions 524 to 776 of the family's 1533-position model. The record is from RNAcentral.